GCUGGGCGCAGUGGUGCUCCUGCAGUCCCGGGUCAUGGGGAGGCAGGAGGAUCUCUUGAGCCCGGGAGCUCUGGGCUGUGAUGCUGUAUGUUGAUUGGGUAUCUACACUGAGUUUUGCAUCAAUAUGGUGACCUCCUGGGAGCAGGGGACCACAGCGUUGCUUGAGGAGGGGUGAACAAGCCCAGGUCAAAAACAGAGCAGGUCAAAACUCCCGUGCUGAUCAGUGGUGGGAUCGCGCCGCGCCUACCAGUGGCCACAGCACCCUAGCCUGGGCAACAUCAUAGCAAGACCCCAU
This 295-nucleotide signal recognition particle RNA is filed under the name Colobus angolensis palliatus. RNAcentral describes it as "Metazoan signal recognition particle RNA (ENSCANG00000002125.1)". It matches the Rfam family "Metazoan signal recognition particle RNA". Rfam says of the family: The signal recognition particle (SRP) is a universally conserved ribonucleoprotein. It is involved in the co-translational targeting of proteins to membranes. The record is from Rfam by way of RNAcentral. Lineage: Eukaryota; Metazoa; Chordata; Mammalia; Primates; Cercopithecidae.